This is a long non-coding RNA of Pseudophryne corroboree (corroboree frog), 1030 nucleotides long. RefSeq lists it as uncharacterized. The transcript has 3 exons. The record is from RefSeq and is a predicted model, not a curated record. Lineage: Eukaryota; Metazoa; Chordata; Amphibia; Anura; Myobatrachidae.
GAGCGGCAGUUGGUCGGGACAGAGCGGCACAGGGCCCAGGAAGUAUGAAAGAGGGGGCACGGACUGUCAGGGAUGUCCUGAGGAGAUAUGAUGGGAGCUCCUUCACUCCCCCACAGCUGCAGGUGCUGACUGUGAGUGGAAGUCCACUGGAGACCGGGAUAGUACAAGGAGAGACCGAAGAUGGUGAAGGACACUGCCCAUGAGCCUUUAUAACCAGGGGAAAGCUGUACUGGAGACAAAGAUAGUUCAGGAAGAGUACAAGAAGGAAAUUGUUCAACAGACUUAGGAGCGGAAAGUGGAGCGGCUGCCGGAUACAUGACACUUUUCCUGCAGGAAUGAGCAUAUUUUAGAAUAAUAAGAGGGACUUGUAGUAUCAGCAAUGUAAAAGAUGCAUGAAGUAAUUGGUGCUUAAUUUGUACACAAACUGUCACGGCAGUUCUCCUCACGGCCUGUAUCUUCUGAAUUCAUUAGUCUUUAAUUAAGGCCAGUUGGGACCAGCAGUUACAAGGUUAAAGAGGUUCUGACAGCCCUAAUCAUUGCUCAGGAAGCUGGAAAUGUAUGCAAAGUCUCGGCAGAUGGGGUGAGAGCCGAAGCUGCCAAGUGGUAACUGUUAUUCCUUUGCACCUCCAAAGCUGUCAUCCUAAUAGGCACAUUUUAUAUUUAUUAAUGCUCCAGUUGCAAUGCAUGCACAGUCUCUAAUGGUAUGUCAUUCAGAGUAUAUAAACUGAGCAAUUAGCAAACAUUACCUGAUAAUGGUAAAAUUAUUUAGUGUACGUUUGAUUUGGGUCUUUCUCCAGUCUCCCCGCCAUGGCACGGAUACUAAUGGCGCAGACUCCUUCCUUUGUCGAGCAAUAUUACAUUCUGACUGUGCCAUACAUUUGACUGACAUUAAUUAUUUUCUGUUUUACCAACGUAGCGCUGAACUACAAUUAUUCAACAUCCCAAUCCAAGCCCCCCCCCCUCCCGCCGCCUCGCAAACCUUCAACUUGAAUUACAAAAGAGCUAUUGUUUGUUUUCAUACGUUCCGCUA